GAAGGUUUAAAGAAUACCGUUAUGAAUCGAACAUGUCAAUCUUGUAAAUUGUGGGUUACUUAAAGGGACUGUUAAGGAAAAAUAUAAUGGGUCCUUUAAAAUUAUAAUUUCGUUCACAGUCCUUAAAAGUCUGCGCCAAGAUUUUAACUCUGGGAAAAUGCCAUUUUGAGUAGUAGUCAAUUAGAAAUAGUAGUUUUAGAAGAUUAUUUUACCCAAGAUCUGAUUCGGUGAUAUUUCUAGCAAUCCUAACCAUCCUGGAGUAUUGAUAUUGAGCAAUCCAGUGUUUUUUUUAUUCUUUUAGAAUCCUUAAUCAUUUGUAUGUAGAGUGCACUGAAACUGGUGAAUUCUUUGCUUAAUUAUAUGAAGAGCUUAUUUUUAAUAAAUGUAUUCCCAUGAAGUCUUAUUGUUGUAUAAGAGAUGAUUUUGUAUUGUAUAAAUUAAUCUGAAUCAAUUCAAGUUUUCAGAUGAAUAGUAAAAAUGUUGCUUUGUUUAAAGCACCCUCAGAGGACUGUCAGGACAGGUAUGUGAAAGUUCUUGAAGAAGAUGGGUUUAAUGUUAUUCUAGUUCCUGUUAUACAGUUUAAAUUUGUUAACCAACAGGAGUUGAGUACUGCUGUUGAAUCAGCUGCCGAGUAUACUGGAAUAGUAUUUACAAGUAAACGAGCUGUGGAAUCUGUAGUAAAUUUACAAAUUGAUAUUCAGAUCUUGAAAGAGAAAGAUAUUUAUGCUGUGGGACCAGGAACAGCUGAUUUUCUUCAGGAUAAGUUUGGAUUUGCAAGUAAGGGUUCUGAAACCGGAUCAGGAGAAGCUCUUGCAAUUUUUAUAAUCGAAGAAAACUUGAAAUCUUCAAGAAACCCGUUUUUACUGUUCCCUUGCAGUUCUCUAUCACGCGAAACUAUGACGACACCUUUAGAAAAUGCUGGAAUACAAUGUAGAAGAAUUAUAAGUUAUGAAACUUCGGAAAAUCAAGACUUGAAAUCCAUCAUGGCUGUCCUUGAACAACAGAGUAUUUGCGCAUUUUUCAGUCCUUCUGGCGUCAAAAGCGCAAUGCCGCAUUUUUCCUCGGAGCACUUGAAAGCGGCAAAAUUUGUAGCAAUCGGUGAAACAACUAAACAGGCGCUAGAAAAUUAUGAUAUAGAUGUUUAUUGUGCUGAAGAACCAACCCCUGCUGCAAUUCUAAGCUUGUUACGAGUAUUUAAUUUAUGUAAUUAGUGAUUCAUCAUAGAAUCAGAUAGAUAUGCAAAUUAAAAAAAAUUUAGAGUUAACAAUCUGUGAUAUAAUUAACUGUUUUACGCGCAAAACUUGAUCUCAGUUGGUAACUGUAGAAUGGUGGAUAUCGGGAUUAAUACUUGAUCCACUCUUUUUCAUAAUCUCAAGAUUAAAUAACGGUUCUUCUCCUCUUGUUGUUAAUCUCUAGAUUGAUUUACCAAUCGGGAUUAAGGAUAUCCUAUUCAAAAGUUUUCAGCUCUGAAGUCAUAUCUAAACAAAUUUAAAAUCUAUCUUGUUACAUGCAGCAAAAAAUAAAUCGUAUUGGUCGGACA
RNAcentral lists this unclassified non-coding RNA (1540 nucleotides) under Eurytemora carolleeae. RNAcentral's name for it is "uroporphyrinogen-III synthase". Lineage: Eukaryota; Metazoa; Arthropoda; Copepoda; Calanoida; Temoridae. The record is from RNAcentral.